Long non-coding RNA from Nilaparvata lugens (brown planthopper), 605 nucleotides. RefSeq lists it as uncharacterized. The transcript is spliced from 2 exons. The record is from RefSeq and is a predicted model, not a curated record. NCBI's taxonomy places the organism in Eukaryota, Metazoa, Arthropoda, Insecta, Hemiptera, Delphacidae.
AAAGUUUGUUUACAAAUGUCAUGGGCUUUAUAAUAUUUACAAGUUUUAUAAUUAAUCAAUUAUCAUUCUAUAAUUGAUUAUUUAAUAUGCAAUAGAGAUUCAAAUUGGAUUUUUUCAGUAGGCUACUCAAAGUGUUUAAUGAAUUCAAAUUGUGAAUAGUAAAGUUUUAAGAAUUCAAAAUGUAUAGUGAGUGUUGAGUGUUCAAAGUGUUUUAUUCAACAAUCAUUUUAUAAUAUUCAACCGUGGAUUAAUUUUUGUUUAUCAACCGUAACUCAACAUUUAGCUUUAUAACAACAUGCUACAAUGAGUAUGAACAGUUUUAAUUGAACAUGUCUAGAAAUUGUUGUGUCCCUGGGUGUAAAUCGAACUAUAUUAUAGAAAACCCCCUUUUAGUAGCAAUAUUCACUUUGGUAUGCUGGCACUGGACGUGCACUUUAGCCAUUCGACCAAAGAUAAAGAGCUGAGGAAAAAAUGGACAAGGUGUAGAAAGAUUUUAAAGUCACCAACAAUUUGGCUGUGUGUAUCAAUCAUUUUAGAGCAUCAGGCAUUAUUAAAGAAGACAAGUUUUUGUGUGAAGAUGGUUUUUAUGUGACUAUUCCAAGAAA